This 446-nucleotide long non-coding RNA is filed under the name Jatropha curcas. RNAcentral's name for it is "long non-coding RNA (JCUR_LNC000199)". Lineage: Eukaryota; Viridiplantae; Streptophyta; Magnoliopsida; Malpighiales; Euphorbiaceae. The record is from RNAcentral.
UGUAAUGUUGACUGAAAUUAUUAAAAUAGUAAUACUUUUAUUCGUGAUUUACCUGAUUACCCUUUUAUUUGAAUUUUUCAGAUUUAGAGUCACUCUCUUUUACAUUGUCACUUUCUUUCAUUUCAAAGUUCCAACUGCAAGCAUGAACUCUGCCUCCGGCUGCAGGACUAGUGUGAGAGUCGUUGUCGCAGGCAAUUGCUUCAUCAAAAAAGCGAGCUUGAUUGCGAUGAUCGCUUCACCAGAAAAGCGAGCUUUGAUUGCAGCGAAUUGCUUCGCCAUUUUAUUUUCGUUUCUUCUUUUUCUUUCUGUUCGUCUAUAAAAUUUUUGUAUUUUACAAUCAAUUUCUUUCUUUUUUUUUGGUCAAUUUCAUUUCAUUCUUCACCAUUUUUUUGUUGUGUUUGAUUUUGUUUACAGUAUAUUUGAUUCCGUUAAGAUUUUGAUAUUCU